This 495-nucleotide ribosomal RNA is filed under the name uncultured bacterium. Its description in RNAcentral is "partial 16S ribosomal RNA". It matches the Rfam family "Bacterial small subunit ribosomal RNA", at positions 28 to 507 of the family's 1533-position model. The record is from RNAcentral.
GACGAACGCUGGCGGCGUGCCUAAUACAUGCAAGUAGAACGCUGAAGGAGGAGCUUGCUUCUCCGGAUGAGUUGCGAACGGGUGAGUAACGCGUGGGUAACCUGCCUGGUAGCGGGGGAUAACUAGUGGAAACGAUAGCUAAUACCGCAUAAGAGUAGAUGUCGCAUGACAUUUGCUGGAAAGGUGCAACUGCACCACUACCAGAUGGACCUGCGUUGUAUUAGCUAGUUGGUGAGGUAACGGCUCACCAAGGCAACGAUACAUAGCCGACCGUAGAGGGGUGUCGGCCACCCUGGGACCGGGACCCGGCCCAGACUCCUACGGGAGGCAGCAGGAGGGAAUCUUCGGCAAUGGGCGGAAGUCUGACCGAGCAACGCCGCGUGGGUGAAGAAGGGUUUCGGGUCGUAAAGCUCUGUUGUGAGAGAAGAACGAGUGUUAGAGUGGAAAGUUCACACUGUGACGGUAUCUUACCAGAAAGGGACGGCUAACUACGUG